Molecule: long non-coding RNA, 513 nt
Filed under: Struthio camelus australis
Lineage: Eukaryota; Metazoa; Chordata; Aves; Struthioniformes; Struthionidae
Description: lncRNA (ENSSCUG00000006748.1)
Source: RNAcentral
CUGUGUCUUAAUAAAACGCUUUCCUUAUGUUGCUGUCAUAUUUAAGCAGUACAACUCAGUAUGAGAACCUUUAAAAAAUAGAUACAAAAACUAAAUAAGACUGAAAUAAAUAGGAAAAGAGCAUUUUAAAUCUUGCAGAACAUAGGCAAACUGCCACAUGUCAGGCUGAGGUACUGCUCUUCUCCUAGUCCUGGAUUUAACAUACUGAAACUCAAGAACCACCGUCUGGUAAAAUUUGUGAAGUAAAGAUUUAAGUAAGCUGGAGAAUAAAAGCCAACCCUUUCACCCCAAAGCUAAAACUUCUACAAUUCUCUUAUGGACUGUAGCUCUCAUUCUCAAGGACCUUUACAUUAAGAUGACAACUCAGACUGCUCAAAUUGCCCAAUUGCAAAUUCACUUUGAUGAAAUGAUGACUCAAGGAGACUCAGAGAUUACUUCUGGAGGCAAAGGCAAGGCAAAUUGAUCAGUGCUGUCACUGGUGAGAAGCAGCUCCUGAAGGAAUAGUUCUAAAAU